UUUGAGAGAGAAAAAUGAGAAAUAUGUGAGCAUCAGUGUGUUAAGGUCUGUUCAUACUAUAAGAACGAUAACUAUGACUAUAUUAGCUUCCACACCAACACACAAUAUCAUUCUGUUUAUUGUAAGUGUGCUGCAUUUUUGUCGUCUGCUGCUUUAAAUGCUUGUGCUCUUAAAACAGAAUGGAUUCUGAUUGGCUGUCAAAAUGUUUAAAUUAAGUUAAAAAAGGAAAUAUCUUUAUUGUUAUUUGUAAUAGUUAUCAUCCUUAGAGUAAACGGGCCUUUUACGAUGUAUACAGUGACUUUUUAUAAGUUGUGUCACAAAUAAACUGCUAGAUUCUUAAUACAGUUAGAGCUUUAUGGAAUGAUCACACCUGAAUGGCGCUCAGAUAAAAACAAUGACUUCUUUAUUAGCAUAACCUUGUUAGAGUCUUGUGGAGGAUAUCUAAUCUCAAGAGAGAUGAGUGAAACUGUUCUGACACACAGGUGAGGCUGUUUCUCAUCAGCACUGCUUCAUAUUCCCAUGUUUGAGUAAAAUGUCUGCCUACAUGUAUAUGGUAUUUUAUGCUAUAAAAUGGAAAUGGGUUCAUAAAAAGUUAAUUUAAUAGGCCUUUAUUAUGAAGAUUCAUUUGUAAGCUUGGCUGGUGAUGAGUCCAUUAAACGACACUGAUGUUUAAUAGAAAUCACUGCCUACAUAAAUAUUGUACGUGUAGAUUUCCGGGAAAAUGGUUGGAAAACUCCAGUAUGGGCAGAGUUUGGGAGUAGGUCCAUAAAUCCUUCAACCAACAAACUUUGGACAUGCUGUGGUGGUCAGAAGCAAGAUAAUCAGGUCAGGUCAUUUGGUUUGACCUGUAUCAAACACUUUUUCUAAAGUCCACUGUACACAUAAUCUCAGAGGAUUCAAAGUAGGUAAGAACCAGAAAUGGUUUACUAAUUUGUUUCUAUGUGACUUGAUGGAAAACACCUUUCCAAGAAAUUCCUUUGAAAAGGGAAGUGAUGGAAAAAAUAACCCAGACCUCCCUAAUAAGCUGUUUAAUAACAAAUCCAAUGACCCCGCAGGUCAGUAUGUUAGCACGAACAACAAGCAGCAUGUGAUCGUUGCAACACAGGCUCAUUGGAAAAAUGUGACUCUAGCUACAUUUUUGCAUGCGUCGUACAUGAUUUGUAAACUAAUUUCUUUUGACGUUUGCAUCACAUAACUACCUUUUCUGAGAUGGUAAACUUGCUUGGUAGCUCACCUGGUACAGCAUUGCACUUGUGAUGCGGACGCAAUAAAACAGUUCAAAGACUGGUAGAAACAAGCUAAAAUGGCAUAAUUGCUUUAGCAAAUGUGUUUUCAUCUUCCCGAGCUACUGUGAUACGUACAACAACCAGCAUAAAACGUUGGCAGGAUUCACAAUCAUGUUUCGGAUAAAACUGAACAAGCUUUUAGAACCACUGGACAUUUCAUUUUGAAAGUGUCGCAAAACAUGUAAAAUGCAGUGAUUUUGCAGAAAUCUCGCCACAGGAAUGUUUUUUCCAGUGAGCCUGGGUUGGAUCAAAUAUUGUCCUGAAUUCAUCUGCAACAUUAAGCCCAAAGCAUACUUCAGUUUUUAUGCUUACGCUAGGGUUGCGUACAGUGUAUGUGACAUAAAUAUCAUCAUCAGUACAGUAUGCGCGUACUUUACAUGGCAGCCAGAUUUUCUAAACACGUGUACAAUGUACGCUCAGCUUGCACACGGCUUUGAAUUUUUUUGUGCUAAUUAGUUUGUCCACAAGGUGGCAACACUAGCCCGGGCCGUGGUUUCACAGUUGAAAAAGAAAAGGAGACAAAAUAACAACAAACUACUGGAGAAUCAACAACAAUAGACACCAGUGCUGCCGAAAGUUUGUAUGAGAGAAUACCUACUUAUUGUAUCGGCCAGAAUUUUAAUAUUGCUGCAUCCCUAUUUACUAGUACACAAGGUUUAGUAGGUUAAGUAUGUGGAAUGGGACUGUACUCUUGCAAUAUGCCAACCCAGCAUUUGCAUACUUGUGUACUUGUGGCCUUAGUGCCAAUUGCUCUGCUAAAGAAUCUAAUAAAAAUUGUUUCUAGUAGGGAACAUAAAAUGUGAAAUCAGAUGUACAUCCACUAUGAAAUAUGUUUCCACCUUCAUCCAAUUCUUAAAGUUGACAUUCAACAGUUCAUAUAUUUGAUAUGCAGUGAGAUAUAAAGUAUACAAGCAUGAAAAUAAGAGCGUAGAACUAAAUUUGUAUGUAUUCAAAGCAGGUAGGAAGAAACAACAGUAAGUAGCUCCUGUAACUCAACUGGUAGAGCUUGGUGCUAGGAAUGUCAAUGAUUCAAUUCCCAGGCAAUAGCACAUAGUGAAAAAAAAAAAAAAAAAAAAAAAAAAAAUAUAUAUAUAUAUAUAUAUAUAUUGUGGCUUUAGACAAAAAUGUCAAGUAAACUAAUACAUUUAAAUACUAAUGAUUCAAAGUUAGGGAGGAACAGAGUGGCAGAGGGAAAAAAAAACUAUGUUAUGAGAGCAAAUAUUGACUGUUCCAGAACAUACUCUUGUUGCAGAACAAAUUUACACUGGAUUGCUCGUUUUAUGGCCACUUCUACCCGUGCAGGUGAAUCAUAUGAUGAUCAUAUGAGGUGCUUUACAAACACAAAAAAAUGUCAACAUGCUGGAUGCUCAUAUAGGCAGAAGAGUAAUUUGUGUAUCAUACUGACAACAGGUUUGGCAAAAGCAUUAUGCUGUUUGAAUGCACUUGAUAGGAAUUUACAAUCUAAAUAACCUAUGUUAUGUUUUAUGUUAUAACAGGUUAAUUACUAGUUUCAGGUUGAUUAAUGCCUUUGGUUAUAAGCAUUUUUCAUAUCAUUGAUCUGUCAAUAUUGAAUAGUCACUAUGGCUCCAGUAUUAAGAUCUGUGUAAUGUAAGAUUAUUGUUCUGCACUGCAGCCAGUAACUUCAUUCAAUCAUUAAUCAGGAGCAGUUGUGUUGAACAGGCCGUUACCAGGUACAAAGUUCUCCUUACAGGUUGAGUUUUUUUUUCCCCCUGGUAGACAAACAAUGUCCUGAAUAAAUGCUUGCAUGGACGGAACAAUAUUAACCGGAAGAACAACUUAAAUGUAAGGGGUCAUCGGAACAUCAUCGUAUUUUUGUUGUGUAAACGUGAAAACAAUAAAACUACAGUGAUGAACCGUGCUCUCAGGACAAGAGUUCUUUCACGUUUUCAAAUGUCAAGUCAGGAUGUUUUUUUUUUCCCCACAAUUGUUUUACUACUAAACCCUUAAUAGGCUGUUUAAUGGCAGAUUCCACUGUGACAACUUGCCCCACAAAAGGUGAUGUAUUGUUUCCAAGCUGUGGAUCAGAAAGGACCUGAAUGACCUGCUAAACCAGAUGAAGGUGGCCUUCAGGUCUGGGGAGACUGAAGGACUGAAUGCACGCGAUGCUGAAGAAGAUGCUUUGUGAUGAAAAAUGCUGCAGGGGACGAACUGGAGUACAAGCUUCAACAGAACAAUGUGAAGCAGGGGAGGAGUAAAAACAGCCUGGUAACCUUCAUUAGCUAUCAGCAAACAUAAACUCGCUGCAAGAUACUUUCGGUUACUUUGAAAGUGCAGUCCAACUGAACUAUUUAAAAAAUAAUACAAAUAUAUGUAAAUAAUAUAAUAACAAUAAUAUACAGUAUAAAGGAACAUAAAUUAAAAAUUUAUAUAAAAUCUAUUUAUAAUAAAUAUUAAAUAGCACAAAACUGGACAAUAGAAGAUUGGAAAAACAUUGCCUGGUCUGAUGAGUCUCGAUUUCCGCUGCGAUAUUCAGAUGGUAUGGGUCAGAAUUUGACGUAAACAACAUGAAAGCAUGGAUCCAUCCUGCCUUGUAUCAACAGUUCAGGCUGUGAAAAUAAAUCAACAUUUAUCCUUUUGAUCUUUCAUUCAAAAAAUUAGCAAAAAAUCUAACCUUUCAUUGAAGUAAAACAAUUAAGAGUGGGACAAAAUCACAUUAUGAAAUGAAUGUUUUUCUCCAAAACAUAUUGGCACCCCUAGAAAUUCUUAUGAGAAAAAUAUCUCUGAAAUAUAUUCCCUUUCAUAUUUUUUAGCACACCAGGGUGACUAGGAACAUGAAAUUAUCCAGCCAUGACUUCUUGUUUCACAAGAGUACAAAUAUGAGGAAACACAAAGGCCAAAUUCCCUUAAUCACUCAUCACAAUGAAUAAAACCAAAGAAUAUAGUUCUGAUGUGCAGCAAAAGAGUGUUGUUACGAAAUGUUACGAAUCUGCCUGGAAGAGGACGUGUGUCUAUAUCGUCCUAAUGGAGGAGAGUUUGAGUGGCCAAAGGCUCUCCAAGGAUCACAGCUGGAGAAUUGCAGAGAUUAGUCGAGUCUUGUGGUCAGAAAGCCUAAAAAAUGAUCAAAUGGCAUCUACAUCAUCACAUAUUGUUUGGGCUUUUUGGCAGCAAACCUACCAGAUGGGUAUAAAAAGUACCCCAUGCCCACGGUUAAAUAUACUGCUGGAUCUUUAAUAUUGUGGGCCUAUUUUUCUGUUGGAGGUCCAGGACAUCUUGUUCAGACACGUGGCAUUAUAGGUUCUAGCAAAUACCAACAGAUAAAAAAUCAAAAAAUUCUAGCUUCUACUAAAAAUCUUAUAAUGGGGAGAGGUCGGAUCUUCCAUCAGGACAAUGAUCCAAAACAAACAUCAAAAUCAACACAAAGAUGGGUCACUGAGCAUAAAAUGAAGCUUCUGCCAUGACUGUCCUAGUCCCCUGACCUGAACCCUAUAGAAAAUGAAUGGGGUGAACUGAAGAGGAGAGACGGCAACAUGGCGUUGGGAAUCUGAAAGAUCUGGAGAGAUCCUGUAUGGAGGAAUGAUCUCUGAUCUCCAACUCAUCAGGCAUUUAUUGGUGAUGACUCUAUUGAAUAUUGAAUUAAAGGGUGCCAAUAAUUUUGGCCAACGUGUAUUGGAGAAAAAGAGACUUUCCCCACAUGUUCAAUUCUUUUACUUCGAUGAAAGGUUAGAUUUUUAAAAAAUAAAAGAUCAAAAGGAUUAUCAAUGCAGAUUUAUUUUUACAGGCUUCUAUGUUCAUACUUACCAAGCGUGCCAAUAAUUCUGACUAUAACUGUAUAUAUAGUAGUGGCCAAAGUGAUGUCUGGUGGGGAUAUUUGUUUUUUAUGACCCUACAAGUUUGAUUAAACCGUCAAAAUAUGAGGAAUUUUUUAAAAAUAUUUUUUAAAUAUUUUAAAUACUAAAUAAGGUACAGUAUUUAUCUGACAAAAUUGUUUGGCCAAAAGGCAAACUACUGUCAAAAUCGUUUGGUUAAAAGGCAAACCACAGCUACAGGUUUUAUUUCUAUGUAAAAAAAAAAAAAAAAAAAAAAAAAAAAACAUACAAAAACAAAAACCUCAAAGAAAAAAAACAAAAAAACAAAAAAAGAGACAACAGCUGUACAACAGCCUGGCCAAAAAUUUGUUAUGUUGGCACAAUUUGUUAUGUUUCAUUGUGUUAUCACAAAUAAAACAAUUGACUCCAAGCACAACUACAAUAUAAUCUUUAACAAAUGAGUAAUAUUUAAAUAAAGGGUGAAGAUGUCAAUUUUCUUAGGCUGGACAUAACUUUUGGCCACUACUGUGUGUGUAUUUAUAUGUAUACAGUAUAGACCGGAGAUCAUUUAAAUAUCAAGUUGUUUAUUUUGCUGCAUUGUAAAUCAUAUAGAGUCAAGAAACAACUGAAAGAUCAUGUUACGUAUGUGCAUGAAUCAUGUUCAUUACUUUCUUGAGAGUUUUUGUAAACAAAAUAUGGCAAGAAAUUAUUUUUUCAAACUCUUUUCUCAGCAUAUACACCUAUAUAUCCAUAAAUAAGUAUUUCUACCUUCAACAAAUAUAUUAACUCACAUUUCAUUCCACUAAAAAUUACAACUAAAAACAUUUCAUUUUCCUGCCAUAACUAUAAUAGCUGUACCAUUUCCUUUCCAUUUCUUACAAACAGAUAUACAGAUUUCCAUACUCCAUUCUUCUUUGAAACAAUAUGCAAUGAUAACUACAGGCCUUUAGGUCUGCAUUUUAAGUGUCAAAGAAAAUGUAGAGAAUUAACAUCUUAAGACAGACACUUUUCGAUUUGUAGCAUUGGACAUUUCUAUAAAAACCAACACAUGAAGUGUGAUUAUGGCCCGGUUUCACAGACAGGGCUUAUAAGCUAGGAUUAGGCCUUAGUUCAAUUAGGACAUUUAAGUAGCUUUUAUAAACGUGCCCUAGAAAAAAACAUUCCUGGUGUGCAUCUUGAGACAAAACAAUGGAAGUGACAGUUUAAAAUAUGUCAGUGCAAGUUGCUUUCCAUUAAAAAAGCUCAAACAUGCAUUUCAGUCUAAGACUAGCUUAAGCCUUGUCUGUGAAACUGGGGGUUUAUGUCAUAAUUAAUAAUACAGUGACAGCUCAUUUGUGUUUUUUCACUAGUCACUGCUGUACAAAACUUUGUGGCACUAAAAUCUGUAUGAAAUGCACAAGCUAAAUGACUGUUGGCAGCUGUAGGUUGAAAAAUAAAUUAUACUGGCCAAGUUAUACAAACAAACAUUUGGGUAACACUUUAUAAUUAUUUUUAUAAUUUUAAUAAGUCUGUAACAAACAGUAUUUAACUGAAUGUUAAUUUAUAGGGGCCCAUUUGUGCCAUUUCAUAAUCAUUUUAGAAACAAAAUGACCUAUAAAUUAAUUAUUGUAUGAAUUAAACAAAAAAUACCAGAUUCAAUUGAUUAUUCUUAUUAUUUCAUAAUUAUUAUUUAUAUAUUCUCAUUUAUAUUGUAUCCAUCUGUUUUUAUUCAUUUAUUUUAUUCAUAUUUAUUAAUGGAUUUUUUUUUUUUAAUUAAUUAAUUAAAUGCUUUUUCCAUCAUCCACAUGAUCGUUUGCUUGACUGACUUAGCACAAAUGGUCCUCCAUAAUAAUUAAUGUACAUUCACAAAUGUAUUCAUGAUUCAUGUAUUUUCAGUAUAUAUACUUUAAAUGUACAUAAACUGCUGAUCUACUGUUUGUUAUUAAUGAGUCAUUAAUGAAAGCUAUUAUAAAGUGAUACCCACAUUUGAUUGUUUUUUUUAGUGACAGCCUAAAAAAAACAGCCAUGUACUGGUUGGUAACAGAACUUUUGAUUUGGUGUGUGACAACAAGAGAAUAACAAAACAUACAGGAACACUGUUAAAUAGUACUAGACCACUACUUUCAUGACAUUCCUACAAUUACAAUUAAUAAACUGAAACCUUUGAUGA
This is a long non-coding RNA of Ctenopharyngodon idella (grass carp), 7202 nucleotides long. RefSeq lists it as uncharacterized. The record is from RefSeq and is a predicted model, not a curated record. NCBI's taxonomy places the organism in Eukaryota, Metazoa, Chordata, Actinopteri, Cypriniformes, Xenocyprididae. The transcript has 3 exons.